This 475-nucleotide ribosomal RNA is filed under the name uncultured bacterium. Its description in RNAcentral is "bacterial SSU rRNA". It matches the Rfam family "Bacterial small subunit ribosomal RNA", at positions 37 to 507 of the family's 1533-position model. The record is from RNAcentral.
UGGCGGCAGGCUUAACACAUGCAAGUCGAGCGGUAGCAGAUCUAGCUUGCUAGAUGCUGACGAGCGGCGGACGGGUGAGUAACGCGUAGGAACCUGCCCAGUAGUGGGGGAUAGCCCGGGGAAACUCGGAUUAAUACCGCAUACGCUCUACGGAGGGAAGAGGGGGCUUCGGCUCUCGCUAUUGGAUGGGCCUGCGUGAGAUUAGCUAGUUGGUGAGGUAAUGGCUCACCAAGGCGACGAUCUCUAGCUGGUCUGAGAGGAUGAUCAGCCACACUGGGACUGAGACACGGCCCAGACUCCUACGGGAGGCAGCAGUGGGGAAUAUUGCACAAUGGGCGCAAGCCUGAUGCAGCCAUGCCGCGUGUGUGAAGAAGGCUUUCGGGUUGUAAAGCACUUUCAGUGGGGAGGAAGGCCUCGUAGUUAAUAGCUGCGAGGAUUGACGUUACCCACAGAAGAAGCACCGGCUAACUCCGUG